UAGGGAAUCUUCCGCAAUGGGCGAAAGCUUGACGGAGCAACGCCGCGUGAGUGAUGAAGGUCUUCGGAUCGUAAAACUCUGUUAUUAGGGAAGAACAAAUGUGUAAGUAACUAUGCACGUCUUGACGGUACCUAAUCAGAAAGCCACGGCUAACUACGUGCCAGCAGCCGCGGUAAUACGUAGGUGGCAAGCGUUAUCCGGAAUUAUUGGGCGUAAAGCGCGCGUAGGCGGUUUUUUAAGUCUGAUGUGAAAGCCCACGGCUCAACCGUGGAGGGUAAUUGGAAACUGGAAAACUUGAGUGCAGAAGAGGAAAGUGGAAUUCCAUGGGUAGCGGUGAAAUGCGCAGAGAUAUGGAGGAACACCAGUGGCGAAGGCGACUUUCUGGUCUGUAACUGACGCUGAUGUGCGAAAGCGUGGGGAUCAAACAGG
This 429-nucleotide ribosomal RNA is filed under the name Actinomycetes bacterium. Its description in RNAcentral is "Actinobacteria bacterium partial 16S ribosomal RNA". It matches the Rfam family "Bacterial small subunit ribosomal RNA", at positions 355 to 776 of the family's 1533-position model. Lineage: Bacteria; Bacillati; Actinomycetota; Actinomycetes. The record is from RNAcentral.